Molecule: unclassified non-coding RNA, 3752 nt
Filed under: Haliotis rufescens (red abalone)
Lineage: Eukaryota; Metazoa; Mollusca; Gastropoda; Lepetellida; Haliotidae
Description: methionine--tRNA ligase, cytoplasmic-like, transcript variant X1
Source: RNAcentral
UGUUUCGUGGGCGCGGCCAUUAAUGUUGUGAAUGGUUAUACGAGUCAAGCUGAUGAAAUCUAACUGUAAUUGGUGAUUCGUUGUAUAUAGUUUGACAGACAGUAAACAGGGAAGACAUUUCCCCAAAGAUGAAAAUCUAUACGGACGUUGGGAAUUUUCAGACCGUAAAGUUACUGGCUGCAGCUGCUACAGCUGGCGUGGAUGUGGAAGUGGUGGUGACAAUUAAUGCGAAGGUGGUUCCAUAUCUCACCUGUAACAAACUGCCGGUGCUGGAGCCUGAGUGCGGGGAGUUCAUCUUCUCACCAAAUGCAGCAACAAGGUAUCUGCUGAGCUUGGGCAAGAAGAUUGUUGAUGAGGCUGUAGAGAAGAGAUGGGCGGAGUGGGAGAGCUCCCAACUGUUGCCAGUUGUGGUGCCCCUCCUGGUGAGCGCAGUUGGCCAAGGCAAGCAGGACAAGACCCAGGAAAAGACUCUCCAGCCUCUACUCAAGUAUCUGGAGGCAAAACUCAAAGGAAAGAAGUUCUUGGUCGGGUCUAGAGUGUCUUCAGCUGACAUCAUCGUGUUUGGUACCCUGUUUCCAGUCUUGCUGGGUAAUCUUGCAAAAGACAGUGUGAAGGAGUGUCCAUCCAUCCAGGCGUGGGGGCAGACCGUGGCAGAUCUCACGCAGGUCGAGGGGGCGCUCAGACAGGUCACAGAAGGGGGGAAUGUACAAUCUCUGAAGGCGUCGUUGCUGGCCCAACCGGUGCCCCCUCCAGCCAACAUCGACACAGCCAAGUUGUACAAGGGGAUGCAGGGCCACACAGCGGAAGGGGCUCAACAGGCUGCCAAAUCUGCAGCCCCGGUAGAUGAGUUUCAGUUCCUGCAACCAGAGAAAACUAUCACGGCGGAGGAGCUUGCAACAGGAGAGAAGUCCUUUCUGUCCGGCGCCAGCACUAGCCCCAAACCAAGACUCCGCAAACACCCAAUAUUACCUUGUGAGGGGGAGAAGAAUAUAUUCAUAACCAGUGCCUUGCCCUACGUCAACAACGUCCCUCACCUCGGCAACAUCAUCGGCUGUGUACUCAGUGGCGAUGUCUUCUCCAGGUUCUGUCGACUGCGGAACCGCAAUGUGCUAUAUGUGUGUGGCACUGAUGAGUACGGCACUGCCACUGAGACGAAGGCCAUGGAAGAAGGCCUCACCCCGCAACAGAUCUGUGAUAAAUACAACAAACUACACUCCGAGAUCUACCAGUGGCUCAACAUCGACUUUGACUACUUUGGCAGGACAACGACAAAAGAACAAACUGAAAUUGCUCAGGAUAUAUUCUGGAAGUUGUACAAUCAAGGCUUCAUCCUCAAGGACAGUGUAGACCAGCUUCAGUGUCAGAAGUGUGUCAGGUUCCUGGCCGAUCGGUUCGUGGAAGGGACAUGUCCACUGUGCGGCUACGAUGAUGCAAGAGGGGACCAGUGUGAUGGCUGUGGCAAACUCAUCAACGCCGUGGAGUUGAAGAAGCCCAAGUGUAAGAUCUGCAGCAGCACCCCCGUCAUCAAGACGUCCCAGCAUCUCUUCCUGGACCUGCCCAAGGUUGAACCCCAGCUGCGUCAGCAUUUAGACAGAGUGUUUGAGACGGGAACGUGGACACACAACGCACAAGUUAUCACAUCAUCGUGGAUCAGGGACGGCUUGAAGCCUCGAUGCAUCAGCCGCGAUCUGAAGUGGGGGACGCCUGUGCCGCUAGAAGGAUACACUGAUAAGGUGUUCUAUGUGUGGUUCGAUGCUCCCAUCGGCUACAUCUCCAUCACCGCCAACUACACCAAGGAGUGGAAGAAGUGGUGGAAGAACCCAGACAAGGUGGAGAUGUACAACUUCCUCGGCAAAGACAACGUUCCCUUCCACAGCGUCAUCUUCCCCUGCACCCUGCUGGGAGCUGACGACAACUACACCAUCGUCAACAGCAUGUUGGCAACAGAGUACCUCAACUACGAGGAUGGCAAGUUCUCCAAGAGCCGAGGUGUCGGUGUGUUCGGGGACCAGGCUCGGGACACCGGCAUCGCGCCGGACGUAUACCGAUUCUACCUCCUCUAUGUCAGACCAGAGUCCCAGGAUUCUGCCUUCAGCUGGGAUGACUUCCUCUUGAAAAACAACAGCGAACUCCUCAACAACAUCGGCAACUUCAUCAACAGGGCGCUGAUGUUUGUGUCCAAUUGCUUUGAGGGGACCAUCCAGGACAUGAAUCUCUCUCUGGAAGACAAGAAGUUGAUUGCUCUCGUCAACAGGGAGCUGGCCACAUACGUUGACAACAUGGAGAGUGUCAGGAUACGAGACUCUAUUCGCAAUAUUCUGAGUAUCUCACGCCUGGGGAACCAGUACAUGCAGGCAAACAAACCAUGGGUGCUAGCCAAAGGGACUCCACAGGAAAGGGCCAGAUCUGGAUGUGUUGUGAGUCUGUCUGCCAACAUCGCGUGCCAGCUGUCCGUGUUACUCCAGCCCUACCUGCCCGUCACCAGCGGCAUCAUACAGGAGCAGCUCAACGCCCCUGCAGACUGCAACAUCAUCGUCAGUAACUUCACCUGUCAGCUCAAAUCUGGACACAAGAUUGGCAAGCCAAGCCCACUGUUCCAGAAGAUAGAAGCUUCCAAGAUCGAGGAGCUGAAGCAGAGAUUUGCAGGCGCUCAGCCCAAGCCUGCAUCAGCAGCCAGCCUUGAGGAGAUUGAGAGACUGACACAGGAGGUGGCAAAACAGGGUAAUGAGGUGAGGGAGCUGAAGGGCCAGAAGGCGGAGAAGGCCCUGAUAGAAGCUGCUGUAAACAAACUCCUGGACCUGAAGAAGCAGCUGACCAAGGCUCAGGGAGGGGAACCUCCUGCAGCUGGCAAGAAAAAGGGCAAGCAGGGGAAGGGUGAUGCAAAGUCGACACCAGCCCCAGCAGUCACACCCACUCCAGCCACACCCACUCCAGCCACACCCUCUGGGGACCAGGGAGAGAUUGACAGACUCACUGAACAGGUCUCUGCACAGGGCACCGUUGUACGAGAGCUAAAGACAAAGAAGGGAGACAAAGCGGCCAUUGAUGCCGCUGUUGCCCAGCUCCUGGAUCUGAAACGUCAGCUUGCCGUGGCUCAGGGUUUGGACCCAGACCAGACAAUCGGGGGUGGGAAGAAGAAGGGCAAGAAGAAAUAAACUGUUUGUCAUGGACACAUUUGUGUUGUUCUGCAGAAGAGGUGUAAUGAUACACGUGAUACAUCCAUUUUCAAAAUAUAUCUAUACAGUCACCAUCAGAAUUGUACAUGAUUGUAUAAAUUGUAUAAAUUGUUAGGGUUAGGUUUAGGCUAAUAAACAAAUUAUUACCAUGAAAAUUGUCUUACUUGUCAGAAGGCCCACAUCCAGUGGUCAAAAUAGACAUCGUAGGAUUAUACCUUUCAAAUGACAUGUAGUCGUGUUUUACAAGCUGAUAAUUUCCUCAUAAAUGUAGGGUUCAUCUAUAACCACCAUGAGGCAGGAAAGCUUCUUGUUGACUGGUUGUGUUUUGCAAUUUUUAUUCCAAGAGUAUGUCUCCCUGCAUCAGCUAAAAUAUUUGGGCCUACAGUUUUUCCACUGGGCGGAGUUUUUUAAAUGUACUGGCCCUUAAGGCUCUUAGUUUACUCUGCUGAAUUGCGGGGGCACGGGUGGCCCAGUCGUCUAAGGCGCCGCGAUUUGCUGUGCAGAGUUGCGUCCCUUGGCCACGCCAGAAAUCUAUGAUUGUGGGUUCGAAUCCCAGUUCGCCCCGAUUAUGUUUCU